UUCCGGUUGAUCCCGCCGGAGGUUACUGCUAUCGAGGUUCGACUAAGCCAUGCGAGUCGAAUGCCGCAAGGCAUGGCGUACUGCUCAGUAACACGUGGACAACCUACCCUUAGGACUGGGAUAACCCCGGGAAGCUGGGAAUAAUCCCCGAUAGUCCUCGAAGGCUGGAAUGCAUCGAGGGCGAAAGCUCCGGCGCCUAAGGAUGGGUCUGCGGCCUAUCAGGUAGUAGUGGGUGUAGCGUACCUACUAUCCUACGACGGGUACGGGUUGUGAGAGCAAGAGCCCGGAGAUGGAUUCUGAGACACGAAUCCAGGCCCUACGGGGUGCAGCAGGCGCGAAAACUUUACAAUGCUGGCAACAGCGAUAAGGGAACCUCGAGUGCCAGGUUACAAAUCUGGCUGUCGAGAUGCCUAAAAAGCAUUUCAUAGCAAGGGCCGGGCAAGACCGGUGCCAGCCGCCGCGUUAACACCGGCGGCUCGAGUGGUAACCGUUAUUAUUGG
RNAcentral lists this ribosomal RNA (500 nucleotides) under uncultured archaeon. Its description in RNAcentral is "bacterial SSU rRNA". It matches the Rfam family "Archaeal small subunit ribosomal RNA", at positions 1 to 507 of the family's 1478-position model. The record is from RNAcentral.